Long non-coding RNA from Magallana angulata, 1186 nucleotides. RefSeq lists it as uncharacterized. Lineage: Eukaryota; Metazoa; Mollusca; Bivalvia; Ostreida; Ostreidae. The record is from RefSeq and is a predicted model, not a curated record. The transcript is spliced from 3 exons.
UCAAUUACCACUUUUACUAUAUACUUUAAAUUAGUGUUAUCUAUUCUUUUUUCUCAGAUGACUUUGUUGACAAUAGAAGGUAUUUGAACAAUCUUCUGUAACAGUAAUAACGAGUGUUCACAUUUAUGUGAAUCAUUUCCAUUUCUCCAAAUUUUGACUUUUGUCUUGAAAAUAAAAAUGUUUAUAUGUACUUAAAUAGUCUGAGUGACCUGAACAUGAGAGAAAUAUAUUCACUGAUAUAAGAACUGAUAUAAAAACAUACAUCGUCUGAAUCGGAGGAAAUAUUUUUGGAUCCGGAUGGGAGACCAGGUGUCCUAUAUAUGUGAAGAUAUGAAAAUGAUGUUUUAAGGGAUGCUAAGAAGUAAUUACCACAUAAAGAAUAGCAAAUGGAAAGUCCAAAGUUAAAAUUCUCCAACAAAUCCCAAAGAAGACUAGUUCAUAAACCCCCCGAGCAGAAAGAAUCAUACUGACGUCAUUCAAAAGUACUGCGUCGAUUUAGGGAUAUCUAAAUAUGACAUGCAAUCUCAUUUGAUAUUCAGCAAAUUUUAAUCUAGCAGUUGUAUGGUACCAAGAAUGUUAACGCUACAAAUAAUUAUGAAACUGUUUCGUUUGAUCAUAAUAGCUAUAUGUUGAUGAAUCCUUUUAAAUACUUUAUUUUUUUUUCUGGAACUUUUGCCGCAAAAUAAAAGAGAAAUGAAGAUAAUAAUACAUUUUGUAAGCAAAUAUCGCAAUUGAUUUUUUUAAAUGAAUGUAAAUGAUAGUAUUUGUAUUUUAACAUGUUUCCUGAUAAAUUAUAUUUAAAACUGGUAUAAUUUGCUCUUGUGUCUUGUGCACCCUUAAACACAACCCUUCCGAUAAGAAACAACCCUUUGUUUCAUCUGAUGGUAACUUGUUUAUUAGAGAUUUAAAGAUAUAUUGAACCUAUCAUAAUAGAGUUAUUUUUUUUAAAGGGAACCAAAUUUAAGAUAAUGUAGUUUGUAUUAUCAUUCAUUGACAUUACUUAAGAUGUAAUAAUAUUUUUAUAUAGUAAUAUGUAAUUAUAUAAUAUGAUUUCAAAUCAGACUAACUGAUCUGUCAAAAAGAAAUAAGUUUUUUUAACGGAACUUGCAAUUUAACGGUACAUGAAUAAUAACAAAACGUGUUUAUGAUAAAACUGUUUUGUGAUUAAACAUCACUUUUCUUUUUA